RNAcentral lists this long non-coding RNA (613 nucleotides) under Marmota monax (woodchuck). Lineage: Eukaryota; Metazoa; Chordata; Mammalia; Rodentia; Sciuridae. The record is from RNAcentral.
CCAACACAUGUGUUGGCAUGGGAGGCUAGCAGCACCGAGAGCAAUUUACAUUCAGCUUCCCAGCCUGCAAGAGACAGCAUAUCAGCCCCUGGGAAGGCUUCGGAGACUUGUCAGCAGUCUGUAGCUUAUUUCUGUGUGUGUGAGGGUGUGUGUGUGUGUGUCUCCCUCUCUCUCUCUCUUUCUCUCUCUCCCUCUCUCUCUCUCACCAUUUCCAGGCUGGAAUCACUGUGGAGGAAUAAGCAACAAAGUCUUGUCAAGAUCUUAUCUCAGGGUAAUGACUAGUUAAAAAUGAAAGGCUAAAAUAUUGAUUUUCUUUAGAGGAAUAAUUGAGUGUUUGAUGUAGAGAACACCCAGUUUCUUCCCGAGGAAAGCUGAGCAGGGCUACAUUAGCAGUCCGUGUCUCUGACAGCAGCAGGGCUGGGUUUAAGCAGCGGCUGCUUUGCCUGGGGAGCACCCGUAAAUGGACUUUGGUCUCAAUGCUUUGACUCUUUGUCGUGGUUUUGGAUGUUGGAAUACGGGCGGUGAUCUCUUGUCCUCUAAAAACUCACCUGAUUUAAAGGAAAGAUGAGUGAAGAACCAAAGGAGAAAAAUGCCAAACCUGCUCAUAGGAAAA